RNAcentral lists this ribosomal RNA (520 nucleotides) under uncultured Glomus. RNAcentral describes it as "SSU rRNA". It matches the Rfam family "Eukaryotic small subunit ribosomal RNA", at positions 569 to 1088 of the family's 1831-position model. Lineage: Eukaryota; Fungi; Glomeromycota; Glomeromycetes; Glomerales; Glomeraceae. The record is from RNAcentral.
AGCAGCCGCGGUAAUUCCAGCUCCAAUAGCGUAUAUUAAAGUUGUUGCAGUUAAAAAGCUCGUAGUUGAAUUUCGGGGUUAGUAGGUUGGUCAUGCCUCUGGUAUGUACUGGUCUCACUGAUUCCUCCUUCCUGAUGAGCCGUAAUGCCAUUAAUUUGGUGUUGCGGGGAAUUUGGACUGUUACUUUGAAAAAAUUUAGAGUGUUUAAAGCAGGCUCACGCCUUGAAUACAUUAGCAUGGAAUAAUGAAAUAGGACGUUUGAUUCUAUUUUGUUGGUUUCUAGGAUCGACGUAAUGAUUAAUAGGGAUAGUUGGGGGCAUUAGUAUUCAAUUGUCAGAGGUGAAAUUCUUGGAUUUAUUGAAGACUAACUACUGCGAAAGCAUUUGCCAAGGAUGUUUUCAUUAAUCAAGAACGAAAGUUAGGGGAUCGAAGACGAUCAGAUACCGUCGUAGUCUUAACCAUAAACUAUGCCGACUAGGGAUCGGAUGAUGUUAAUUUUUUAAUGACUCAUUCGGCGCCU